GGGGCGUUAGCUCAAUUGGGAGAGCGCCGCCUUUGCAAGGCGGAGGUCAUCGGUUCGACCCCGAUACGCUCCA
Molecule: transfer RNA, 73 nt
Filed under: Phycisphaerales bacterium
Lineage: Bacteria; Pseudomonadati; Planctomycetota; Phycisphaerae; Phycisphaerales
Description: tRNA-Ala
Rfam family: tRNA
About the family: Transfer RNA (tRNA) molecules are approximately 80 nucleotides in length. Their secondary structure includes four short double-helical elements and three loops (D, anti-codon, and T loops). Further hydrogen bonds mediate the characteristic L-shaped molecular structure. tRNAs have two regions of fundamental functional importance: the anti-codon, which is responsible for specific mRNA codon recognition, and the 3' end, to which the tRNAs corresponding amino acid is attached (by aminoacyl-tRNA synthetases). tRNAs cope with the degeneracy of the genetic code in two manners: having more than one tRNA (with a specific anti-codon) for a particular amino acid; and 'wobble' base-pairing, i.e. permitting non-standard base-pairing at the 3rd anti-codon position.
Source: RNAcentral